GUCCCAUAAAUAAAGGUGUGUAAGAAUUAAAAGGUGUAGAGAAAAAAAAUAAUGUUUGGCACAACAACAUCCCAUGCGACAUCCCAUAACUUCCACAAAGUUUAAAUUCUUCUAUAUAAAAGGUAUUGGGUGUGGAAGAGCCUUCAAGCAGAAGGACUCCUCCACUUUUGUGCCAACAAAUCUCUAAGAGCCAUCAAACGGCGUGUGGAGUAAAGGGAACACAUGAAAUAAAAGAAGGGAGUUAAGAGUCUUCGUUAAGAAGGACUCUUCCUUCUUAAUGCUAAAAGUGUGGUGCCAUUAAUUCUUUGGCGUGGAAAAUUGGCAUGGAGGAGGUGGAUCACACAUGGAAUACUUUCAUAAAAUCCAAAUCAGCCACAUAAUAAUUAGAUGGUUCAAACCUAAUUAUAUUAGAUCAAGGCAACAAGUCUGGGUUUAGCACAA
RNAcentral lists this long non-coding RNA (441 nucleotides) under Elaeis guineensis (African oil palm). RNAcentral's name for it is "long non-coding RNA (EGUI_LNC068126)". The record is from RNAcentral. Lineage: Eukaryota; Viridiplantae; Streptophyta; Magnoliopsida; Arecales; Arecaceae.